RNAcentral lists this ribosomal RNA (497 nucleotides) under uncultured bacterium. RNAcentral describes it as "partial 16S ribosomal RNA". It matches the Rfam family "Bacterial small subunit ribosomal RNA", at positions 28 to 507 of the family's 1533-position model. The record is from RNAcentral.
GAUGAACGCUGGCGGCGUGCCUAAUACAUGCAAGUCGAGCGAACGGACGAGAAGCUUGCUUCUCUGAUGUUAGCGGCGGACGGGUGAGUAACACGUGGAUAACCUACCUAUAAGACUGGGAUAACUUCGGGAAACCGUAGCUAAUACCGGAUAAUAUUUUGAACCGCAUGGUUCAAAAGUGAAAGACGGUCUUGCUGUCACUUAUAGAUGGAUCCGCGCUGCAUUAGCUAGUUGGUAAGGUAACGGCUUACCAAGGCAACGAUGCAUAGCCGACCUGAGAGGGUGAUCGGCCACCCUGGAACUGAGACACGGUCCAGACGCCUACGGGAGGCAGCAGUAGGGAAUCUUCCGCAAUGGGCGAAAGCCUGACGGAGCAACGCCGCGUGAGUGAUGAAGGUCUUCGGAUCGUAAAACUCUGUUAUUAGGGAAGAACAUAUGUGUAAGUAACUGUGCACAUCUUGACGGUACCUAAUCAGAAAGCCACGGCUAACUACGUG